This 322-nucleotide unclassified non-coding RNA is filed under the name uncultured fungus. RNAcentral's name for it is "partial contains 5.8S ribosomal RNA and internal transcribed spacer 2". The stretch from base 1 to 133 matches the Rfam family "5.8S ribosomal RNA", at positions 22 to 154 of the family's 154-position model. The record is from RNAcentral. Lineage: Eukaryota; Fungi.
UGGCUCUCGCAUCGAUGAAGAACGCAGCGAAAUGCGAUAAGUAAUGUGAAUUGCAGAAUUCAGUGAAUCAUCGAAUCUUUGAACGCACCUUGCGCCUUUUGGUAUUCCAAAAGGCAUGCCUGUUUGAGUGUCAUGUGGACUCAACCCUCGAGGUUUUUCCUCUUGGGCUUGGACUUGGGUGUCUGCCUGCCCGGCUCGCCUUAAAAGUGUUAGUGGGAUAACCAAACACCCGAUGUAAUAAGUUUCAUCUGGUCUAGGCGACUCUUACUCAUAACCCCCAUAUUACAUUUCUGACCUCAAAUCAGGUAGGACUACCCGCUGA